RNAcentral lists this ribosomal RNA (537 nucleotides) under uncultured eukaryote. Its description in RNAcentral is "SSU rRNA". It matches the Rfam family "Eukaryotic small subunit ribosomal RNA", at positions 172 to 762 of the family's 1831-position model. The record is from RNAcentral.
GCUUAAAAGACCUUCGGGUUGUAUUUAUUAGUUUUGUACCAAUCUUAGAUUGUGAGGAGUCAUAAUAAACUGAUCGAAGCGCACUUGUGUGCGCUAAAUCUUUCAAGUAUCUGCCCUAUCAGAUUGUUGGUAGUGUAUUGGACUACCAAGUCGAUCACGGGUAACGGAGAAUUAGGGUUCGAUUCCGGAGAGGGAGCCUGAGAAACGGCUACCACAGCUACGGUAGGCAGCAGGUGCGUAAAAUUACCCAAUCCAAAAUCUGGAAGGUAGUUACAGGAAAUUUGUUGCAUGGGGUUCUACCCCAGACACAAACGAACACAUGUAAGUAUUGUGUGUUUAAUUGGAGGGGCAAGUUUUGGUGCCAGCAGCCGCGGUAAUUCCAACUCCAAGAGUGUAUCUUAAUGUUGCUGCAGUUAAAAAGCUCGUAGUUGAACUUCUGGCUAGUGGAGGUCCCCCGGGAUCAUUCGCUAGUCAUCCGCUCGGAGAAGCAGUAUUUCCUUUACUGGUUUUACUGUAGACCCAGCAUUUUACUUGAAG